UGGAUACUGUCAAAUGUAACAAGGAUCCUUUCAGCUCCUUCUGGAGAUGAUUCAGAGAGAAACCAACCAAUGUGAAAGUGAGAGACAGACGGAGACAGCAAGGAAGGAAAGUGAAAGGUUUCCAGGAUCAGACGAGUUCAGGUGGAUUCAUAAAGAGAGAUCAGCAAUAAAAGGAAUGAAGUGUUUCCUCAGCUGGAGGCAGAACCAGCAGCUGGACUGUUUCCCCACAGCUGGACUCACAGGUGAGACACCUGCAGCUUUACUGACACCCAGUGGACGCAGCAGGAAACUGCAGCAGCUCAGACAGUAAUUCAAGUGUUUAUUCAGGGCUGCUGUGGCUCAUUAAAAACUCUGAAAUUCAAAUAAAUGAAGGUCUUCAAAUGUCUCAUAUUUCCACAGAAUCAUUAAAUGGAAGAUUUUUCAGACUGGAAGGAAAAAUGAAGCCAAGAAGAAUUUUUUCAGUCAGUUUUUAAAGUUUCACUCGCUCAGCGUCUCUCCUCUUAUCACCGCUGAUCAGACACAUUUAUUUAUUUGAAGAUGCAGUUAGCGGCUGACACGCUGAUGAUGCUCAGUAGAUCUGAUCUUUGUAUCUGGAUUUAUUUGACAGGGACAGUGUUCAUGUUCAUGGACAUCAGGAUAAAAACAGAAGAUGGAAACCUGCCAGAUUUGAGCUAAACUGCUCAUUUCCAUGUGUAGUCCCUGGGCAGGUCACAUGACUCUAUCCAACAUACAAAGACACACAGACACACAAGAAAAGCCAGAGAAACAAAGACAAAUCCAAACAAUCCAUCAUACUGAGUUACAGUUUUUUACAGACGCUAGGACACAUUUCUCAAUACGUAGGUCACUUUUGCAAAACUCCUCACACAGUGAGCACAACAGAAGUCUAUGUGGGCUAAACUGAGGAUCAGUUAUCAUUGUUUUGGCACAAAAUGCAUUCAAUGACUACAUCUCUCAAAUUUCAUGAAUUAUUUUCUCACUCAGACACAACAACUGCCAAAAAUCUUUGUACGUACAGGACAUUUUGCAUGUACUUACAUACUGUUUGCAAAACUGUUAAACUUACGGUCAAAACAAUAACAUAAUGCAAAACUGAAUAAGACAGCAAAAUUCAACAGCAAUAUUUUAUUGAAACAUAUUUUAAAUCUAAAAAUGCAGUUUAACCAGCCACAGCUGAUUCUCAUUGUAGAUGAACAUCUACACAGGUGUUACUCCUUCAAUUUCAUUACAAAAGGAGACAACUGCUGAAUAGGUUUGUUUUGUGAUGUAAACAUGGACCCAGCCAGAAAUGGAGAAGUGGCUGAAAGAGGAAGAAGAGUGGCUGGGAGGGGGCGAGGAAUACGUAUGCGUGGUGGAAGAAGAAUAAGAGGAAGAUCAAGAGCUGUAGUCUCAGAUGAGAUCAGAGCUACUGUAAUUGAUCAUGUAGUAAAUCAUGGUCACUCAAUGAGAGGCUGGUCAGAGAGUGCAGCCAAAUCUGCAACGCUCUACAGUGGCAUCUAUUGUUGGAGUUUUCCGGCAAACCAACAGGACUCAACGGUUACCUCACACAGGAGGGAGAGGACGGAUGUUCACUGAUGUGCAGGAAACUGCCAUUGUUGAUAUGGUCAUCAGAAACAAUGGGAUAAAACUCACUGAAAUUAGACACAGAGUCUUGGCAGACAACGUUACUUUCGCAAAUAUUCACAGUGUAAGCAUAACAACAAUUUCUAGAGUCCUGAAAAAACAUCAGGUCAGGAUGAAACAGUUGUACACUGUGCCUUUUGAGAGGAACUCUGAACAUGUCAAGCAACUCAGGAACCAGUAUGUCCAGGUUUCAACUUGGCCAAAGCACGGCGACGAGGGAGGAAUGUGAUUGGGAAGAGAGCCACAGUGAAUGUCCCGGGCCAGAGGGGUGCCAACAUCACAAUGUGCGCAGCAAUAUCCACUGAUGGACUGCUGUUACACAGACCACUGAUUGGACCAUACAACACUGAACGGCUCCUUGCGUUCCUGCAUGAUCUCUAUGGAA
Oreochromis aureus is the source of this 2008-nucleotide long non-coding RNA. RefSeq lists it as uncharacterized. The record is from RefSeq and is a predicted model, not a curated record. The transcript has 3 exons. NCBI's taxonomy places the organism in Eukaryota, Metazoa, Chordata, Actinopteri, Cichliformes, Cichlidae.